ACAUGAAGAGAAAGAAAGGGAUUAGGGGGAGCGACCAUGGACCUAAGGAUGAAUGACGUCUUCCAUGCCAGCAUGGCAUGGGACGGCCUCGCUUGUCUCCUAUGUUUUACCCGUGACCCGUUGUCACCGUUCUCGGUCAUUGACGUCCACAUGCAGGAUCAGUGCUCCACAGUCCGAAGCGAGAUGGCAUGUGUCUCUUUUUGCCAAUAGCUUGGUGUAUGCGGUGCAACGGUGUCCAGUGGUUCCCAGGAGGCGUUGUGUCACUUCUAAUCAGUAGUAGCAGGUGCUUCUUGUUGGGGGUGUAGCCACUUAUGUGCUCAUGCUCAACAGUGAGCUGGUGGUGUUUGCUACUCCCUCCGUCCGGAAAUACUUGCCAUCAAAAUGGAUAAAAGGGAUGUAUCUAGACGUAUAGAGAGUACUUGGUUAUCUUUUUUUUUUUGACUAAGAUUUCCUCGUCACUUUGUAUCGGUUUGAUCAUUUGGCUUUAUUUAUAAAGCAUAGCGAA
Molecule: long non-coding RNA, 505 nt
Organism: Triticum dicoccoides
Lineage: Eukaryota; Viridiplantae; Streptophyta; Magnoliopsida; Poales; Poaceae
Exons: 2
Source: RefSeq, a predicted model, not a curated record